RNAcentral lists this long non-coding RNA (485 nucleotides) under Marmota monax (woodchuck). Lineage: Eukaryota; Metazoa; Chordata; Mammalia; Rodentia; Sciuridae. The record is from RNAcentral.
GCCAAAUAUUUGGUCCAACAGGAAACCCCAAAACCAUAGAAAGUGCUAUGAGAGGGAUACCAAACUCAGCAGUGCUUAACUUUCAGGAACCAAAAGGAUGAACUCAAUAUAAUUAGUGAUAGGGUUGGAGUAGCAGACAUGAGUAACUACUGAGAGUAAGGAAGUGAUAGAAUAUGACUUCUCUUGUUCUGUCAGCAGACCAAAAGAAUAUAACUAAAUUUGUACCAUCAAAAAAAAUUUGAUGAACUUUGUAACCUCAAUAAAUGUCAUAAUGACAUGUCCAAAUUCUGAAUCUAAACCAGUUUUUAGAACCAAAACAUACUGACAGAAGCUAAGACCCCAGAAGAAAAUCCCCACUGUACCUUGGUAAACACGCAUUCACAGUUCUCCUACCAUGUUCCUACAACUAUUUAACUAGGUAUCUAUACAUUUUUAAAACUGACAUAAACAGUCUGAAUUGUCAUGGAUACCCAUAAGGUAGAUUU